UACGAAGGGGGCUAGCGUUGCUCGGAAUCACUGGGCGUAAAGCGCACGUAGGCGGACUCUUAAGUCAGGGGUGAAAUCCUGGAGCUCAACUCCAGAACUGCCCUUGAUACUGGGAGCCUUGAGUUCGGGAGAGGUGAGUGGAACUGCGAGUGUAGAGGUGAAAUUCGUAGAUAUUCGCAAGAACACCAGUGGCGAAGGCGGCUUACUGGUCCGGUUCUGACGCUGAGGCGCGAAAGCGUGGGGAGCAAACAGG
This 253-nucleotide ribosomal RNA is filed under the name uncultured bacterium. Its description in RNAcentral is "partial 16S ribosomal RNA". It matches the Rfam family "Bacterial small subunit ribosomal RNA", at positions 524 to 776 of the family's 1533-position model. The record is from RNAcentral.